UCAUUAAAAAUUCAAUACAAGUCAUUCAUUUCAUCCCACAUCAAUCCAUUCAUUCCCAAAAUUCAAAAUCCAUUACAAAGCAUGAGAAUGUUCAUAAUAUGAAAAUUUACAAAAAUUUGGAAAUGUUAACCAAAUAUUGACUUUGGUCAACAGUUGAAUUUUUGGUCAACUUUGACCAAAGUCAACCCAAUCCCAAAAAAUCUUAAAACACUAACAUCCCAUCCUAAUCCUAACCCUAAUCUCCAAAUCCCAUUUUGACCUUUGGCUUUACUUUUAUACAU
This 281-nucleotide long non-coding RNA is filed under the name Lathyrus oleraceus (garden pea). RNAcentral describes it as "Pisum sativum (pea) long non-coding RNA (PSAT_LNC035500)". Lineage: Eukaryota; Viridiplantae; Streptophyta; Magnoliopsida; Fabales; Fabaceae. The record is from RNAcentral.